AAAUUUAUAUGUUCUAAUGAUGGGCCCUUCUCUGUGGGCCUCUCGUAGUGUACUCAUGCAGGAGUAAAUUGCAGGCUUGAACCAUUGCCCAGCCUCCUUACCUGUGGGUUUUGAGCACUGAAGGGGGUUGUACAGUG
Molecule: small nucleolar RNA, 137 nt
Organism: Molossus molossus (Pallas's mastiff bat)
Lineage: Eukaryota; Metazoa; Chordata; Mammalia; Chiroptera; Molossidae
Product: small nucleolar RNA SNORA42/SNORA80 family
Exons: 1
Source: RefSeq, a predicted model, not a curated record